GAGAAAGCAAGACAGACUGUAUGGGGGAGAGGCGUAAUGAGAGUUUUAAAAUGAUUGGAGUCUGCACGACAUUAAGACUAAUUAGUCUUGUGUGAAUGUAUAUUGUCUGUAGGCGUAGCCGACGAUUGAUGCGUCUAUAAUUGCAACACGUGAGCCCAUCUGGUUAGAAUUUGCCACAAUCAAAUGAGUACGUGCCAAUUUCUCUUUCAGCACCGAGUGACAUCGAUGACGGAUCCGCUGUCACCCUCCCCGGUCACGAAUACCACAUGCUUCCUGUGGUCCCGGCCUCUUAGAGAAGCAGGAAGGACUUUUUGUGGGGUGGAUCCACAUUUUCAUCACAGAAUAACCAAAGGGACCUGAAACGGUGUGGUCAGGAUGCGUAUUCCUUGCCCCAUAGGCCUACCUGUGUUAUCAACGUGGUGCUGAACGCAACUGUAAAGG
Gadus macrocephalus (Pacific cod) is the source of this 441-nucleotide long non-coding RNA. RefSeq lists it as uncharacterized. The record is from RefSeq and is a predicted model, not a curated record. Lineage: Eukaryota; Metazoa; Chordata; Actinopteri; Gadiformes; Gadidae. The transcript is spliced from 3 exons.